UACGGAGGGUGCGAGCGUUGUCCGGAAUCACUGGGCGUAAAGGGCGCGUAGGCGGCUUGGGAAGUCCGUGGUGAAAGCUCGUGGCUCAACUGCGAGUCGGCCAUGGAUACUCCUAAGCUCGAGUCGACUAGAGGCAGAUGGAAUUCCGGGUGUAGCGGUGGAAUGCGUAGAGAUCCGGAAGAACACCGGUGGCGAAGGCGGUCUGCUGGGGUCGAACUGACGCUGAGGCGCGACAGCGUGGGGAGCAAACAGG
Molecule: ribosomal RNA, 253 nt
Filed under: uncultured bacterium
Lineage: Bacteria
Description: partial 16S ribosomal RNA
Rfam family: Bacterial small subunit ribosomal RNA
Source: RNAcentral